GGGUGCCGGGGCUUCUCCCGUUU
Molecule: transfer RNA, 23 nt
Filed under: Aristelliger lar (spotted Caribbean gecko)
Lineage: Eukaryota; Metazoa; Chordata; Lepidosauria; Squamata; Sphaerodactylidae
Description: partial tRNA-Cys
Source: RNAcentral